GGGGGUGUGGCUCAGUGGUAGAGCACUUGCCUAGCAUGUGCGAGGCCCUGGGUUCAAUACUCAGCACCACAU
RNAcentral lists this transfer RNA (72 nucleotides) under Ictidomys tridecemlineatus (thirteen-lined ground squirrel). Its description in RNAcentral is "Spermophilus tridecemlineatus (thirteen-lined ground squirrel) tRNA". It matches the Rfam family "tRNA". Rfam says of the family: Transfer RNA (tRNA) molecules are approximately 80 nucleotides in length. Their secondary structure includes four short double-helical elements and three loops (D, anti-codon, and T loops). Further hydrogen bonds mediate the characteristic L-shaped molecular structure. tRNAs have two regions of fundamental functional importance: the anti-codon, which is responsible for specific mRNA codon recognition, and the 3' end, to which the tRNAs corresponding amino acid is attached (by aminoacyl-tRNA synthetases). tRNAs cope with the degeneracy of the genetic code in two manners: having more than one tRNA (with a specific anti-codon) for a particular amino acid; and 'wobble' base-pairing, i.e. permitting non-standard base-pairing at the 3rd anti-codon position. The record is from Rfam by way of RNAcentral. Lineage: Eukaryota; Metazoa; Chordata; Mammalia; Rodentia; Sciuridae.